RNAcentral lists this ribosomal RNA (440 nucleotides) under uncultured bacterium. RNAcentral's name for it is "bacterial SSU rRNA". It matches the Rfam family "Bacterial small subunit ribosomal RNA", at positions 954 to 1392 of the family's 1533-position model. The record is from RNAcentral.
GCUAAACGCGAAGAACCUUACCUACACUUGACAUACCUCUUGGGACUUUCAGAGAUGAUUGUUUUCGGUUCGGCCGGGAGGAUACAGGUGCUGCAUGGCUGUCGUCAGCUCGUGUCGUGAGAUGUUGGGUUAAGUCCCGCAACGAGCGCAACCCUCGCCAUUAAUUGCCAUCAUUUGGUUGGGCACUUUAAUGGGACUGCCGGUGACAAACCGGAGGAAGGUGGGGAUGACGUCAAGUCCUCAUGGCCCUUAUGGCCAGGGCUUCACACGUAAUACAAUGGUCGGUACAGAGGGCAGCCAACCCGCGAGGGGGAGCCAAUCCCAGAAAGCCGAUCGUAGUCCGGAUUGCAGUCUGCAACUCGACUGCAUGAAGUCGGAAUCGCUAGUAAUCGCGGAUCAGCAUGUCGCGGUGAAUACGUUCCCGGGUCUUGUACACACCG